GCACGGGUGAGUAACACGUAUGCAACCUGCCCACAACUGCGGGAUAACCCGUCGAAAGACGGACUAAUACCGCAUGGUAUGGAUUGAUCGCCUGAUUGAUUCAUCAAAGAAUUUCGGUUGUGGAUGGGCAUGCGUUCCAUUAGGCAGUUGGUGUGGUAACGGCUCACCAAACCUACGAUGGAUAGGGGUUCUGAGAGGAAGGUCCCCCACACUGGUACUGAGACACGGACCAGACUCCUACGGGAGGCAGCAGUGAGGAAUAUUGGUCAAUGGGCGAGAGCCUGAACCAGCCAAAUCGCGUGAAGGAUGAAGGUAUUAUGUAUUGUAAACUUCUUUUAUAGGGGAAUAAAGUGCACCACGUGUGGUGUUUUGUAUGUACCCUAGGAAUAAGGAUCGGCUAACUCCGUGCCAGCAGCCGCGGUAAUACGGAGGAUCCAAGCGUUAUCCGGAUUUAUUGGGUUUAAAG
This 466-nucleotide ribosomal RNA is filed under the name uncultured bacterium. RNAcentral's name for it is "bacterial SSU rRNA". It matches the Rfam family "Bacterial small subunit ribosomal RNA", at positions 100 to 565 of the family's 1533-position model. The record is from RNAcentral.